RNAcentral lists this ribosomal RNA (254 nucleotides) under uncultured bacterium. RNAcentral describes it as "partial 16S ribosomal RNA". It matches the Rfam family "Bacterial small subunit ribosomal RNA", at positions 524 to 776 of the family's 1533-position model. The record is from RNAcentral.
GACAGAGGGUGCAAACGUUGUUCGGAAUUACUGGGCGUAAAGCGUGUGUAGGCGGCUUUGCAAGUCGGAUGUGAAAGCCCCGGGCUCAACCCGGGAAGUGCACUCGAUACUGCAGGGCUAGAGUGUGGGAGAGGUUGGUGGAAUUCUCGGUGUAGAGGUGAAAUUCGUAGAUAUCGAGAGGAACACCGGUGGCGAAAGGCGGCCAACUGGACGAAUACUGACGCUGAGACUCGAAAGCGUGGGGAGCAAACAGG